CAGCAGCCGCGGUAAUACGGAGGGAGCUAGCGUUGUUCGGAAUUACUGGGCGUAAAGCGCGCGUAGGCGGUUACUCAAGUCAGAGGUGAAAGCCCGGGGCUCAACCCCGGAACUGCCUCUGAAACUAGGUGACUAGAAUCUUGGAGAGGUCAGUGGAAUUCCGAGUGUAGAGGUGAAAUACGUAGAUAUUCGGAAGAACACCAGUGGCGAAGGCGACUGACUGGACAAGUAUUGACGCUGAGGUGCGAAAGCGUGGGGAGCAAACAGGAUUAGAUACCCCUGUAGUCCCUGUCUCUUAUAC
RNAcentral lists this ribosomal RNA (301 nucleotides) under uncultured bacterium. RNAcentral describes it as "partial 16S ribosomal RNA". It matches the Rfam family "Bacterial small subunit ribosomal RNA", at positions 509 to 807 of the family's 1533-position model. The record is from RNAcentral.